AGUAGCAGCAUACCACCCUGCAUCCCACUGCUGGCUUGCCUCUGAAGCUAAGCAGGGUUGGCCCUGGAUGGGAGACCAGAUGCUGCUGGAA
Molecule: ribosomal RNA, 91 nt
Filed under: Hucho hucho (huchen)
Lineage: Eukaryota; Metazoa; Chordata; Actinopteri; Salmoniformes; Salmonidae
Source: RNAcentral